Rattus rattus (black rat) is the source of this 104-nucleotide small nuclear RNA. NCBI's taxonomy places the organism in Eukaryota, Metazoa, Chordata, Mammalia, Rodentia, Muridae. The record is from RefSeq and is a predicted model, not a curated record.
GUGCUCACUUCGGCAGCACAUAUACCAAAAUUGGAACCAUACAGACAUUAGCAUGGCCCCUGUGCAAGGAUGACGUGCAAAUUUGUGAAGCGUUCCAUAUUAAA